GCGUGCCUAAUACAUGCAAGUCGAGCGGACAGAAGGGAGCUUGCUCCCGGAUGUUAGCGGCGGACGGGUGAGUAACACGUGGGUAACCUGCCUGUAAGACUGGGAUAACUCCGGGAAACCGGAGCUAAUACCGGAUAGUUCCUUGAACCGCAUGGUUCAAGGAUGAAAGACGGUUUCGGCUGUCACUUACAGAUGGACCCGCGGCGCAUUAGCUAGUUGGUGGGGUAAUGGCUCACCAAGGCGACGAUGCGUAGCCGACCUGAGAGGGUGAUCGGCCACACUGGGACUGAGACACGGCCCAGACUCCUACGGGAGGCAGCAGUAGGGAAUCUUCCGCAAUGGACGAAAGUCUGACGGAGCAACGCCGCGUGAGUGAUGAAGGUUUUCGGAUCGUAAAGCUCUGUUGUUAGGGAAGAACAAGUGCGAGAGUAACUGCUCGCACCUUGACGGUACCUAACCAGAAAGCCA
This 468-nucleotide ribosomal RNA is filed under the name Bacillus pumilus. RNAcentral describes it as "bacterial SSU rRNA". It matches the Rfam family "Bacterial small subunit ribosomal RNA", at positions 42 to 493 of the family's 1533-position model. Lineage: Bacteria; Bacillati; Bacillota; Bacilli; Caryophanales; Bacillaceae. The record is from RNAcentral.